GCACUACUGAUGGGUCCCAAAAUUGGACGAAACGGCCGUCCAGUGC
RNAcentral lists this non-coding RNA (46 nucleotides) under Schistosoma mattheei. The record is from RNAcentral. Lineage: Eukaryota; Metazoa; Platyhelminthes; Trematoda; Strigeidida; Schistosomatidae.